RNAcentral lists this ribosomal RNA (750 nucleotides) under uncultured bacterium. RNAcentral describes it as "bacterial SSU rRNA". It matches the Rfam family "Bacterial small subunit ribosomal RNA", at positions 32 to 793 of the family's 1533-position model. The record is from RNAcentral.
AGGGGGGGGGGGGUGCUUAACACUGCCACGUCGACGGACUCAUAUUGAAACCUAGUGAUUUAUGAGUUAGUGGCCCCCUUAUGAGUAACGCGUGGAUAACCUGCCGUAUACCGGGCCCAUAACACUUAGAAAUAGGUGCUAAUACCGCAUAAGCGCACGGCUCCGCAUGGGGCAGUGUGAAAAACUCCGGUCCCAUACGAUGGAUCCGCGUCUGAUUAGCUAGUUGGCGGGGUAACGGCCCACCAAGGCAGCGAUCAGUAGCCGGCCUGAGAGGGUGGACGGCCACAUUGGGACUGAGACACGGCCCAAACUCCUACGGGAGGCAGCAGUGGGGAAUAUUGCACAAUGGGGGAAACCCUGAUGCAGCGACGCCGCGUGAGUGAAGAAGUAUCUCGGUACGUAAAGCUCUAUCAGCAGGGAAGAAAAUGACGGUACCUGACUAAGAAGCCCCGGCUAAUUACGUGCCAGCAGCCGCGGUAAUACGUAGGGGGCAAGCGUUAUCCGGAUUUACUGGGUGUAAAGGGAGCGUAGACGGAAGCACAAGUCUGGAGUGAACUCCCGGGGCUUAACCCCGGAACUGCUUUGGAAACUGUGCGGCUGGAGUGCAUGAGGGGUAUGCGGAAUUCCUAGUGUAGCGGUGAACUGCGUAUAUAUUAGGAGGAACACCGGUGGCGAAGGCGGCUUACUGGACUGUUACUGACGUUGAGGCUCAAAAGCGUGGGAAGCAAACCGGAUUAUAUACCCUGAUAG